Molecule: ribosomal RNA, 253 nt
Filed under: uncultured bacterium
Lineage: Bacteria
Description: partial 16S ribosomal RNA
Rfam family: Bacterial small subunit ribosomal RNA
Source: RNAcentral
UACGGAGGGUGCGAGCGUUGUCCGGAAUCACUGGGCGUAAAGGGCGCGUAGGUGGCCCGUUAAGUGGCUGGUGAAAUCCCGCGGCUCAACUGCGGGGCUGCCGGUCAUACUGGCGAGCUAGAGCACGGUAGGGGCAGGUGGAAUUCCGGGUGUAGCGGUGGAAUGCGUAGAGAUCCGGAAGAACACCGGUGGCGAAGGCGGCCUGCUGGGCAGUAGCUGACGCUGAGGCGCGACAGCGUGGGGAGCAAACAGG